GACGAACGCUGGCGGCGUGCUUAACACAUGCCAGUCGAACGGAAAGGCUCCAGCUUGCUGGCGUACUCGAGUGGCGAACGGGUGAGUAACACGUGGGUAAUCUGCCCUGCACUCUGGGAUAAGCCUGGGAAACUGGGUCUAAUACUGGAUAUGACCUUUCUCCUUAUGGGGUUUGGUGGAAAGUUUUUCGGUGUAGGAUGAGCCCGCGGCCUAUCAGCUUGUUGGUGGGGUGAUGGCCUACCAAGGCGACGACGGGUAGCCGGCCUGAGAGGGUGAUCGGCCACAUUGGGACUGAGAUACGGCCCAGACUCCUACGGGAGGCAGCAGUGGGGAAUAUUGCACAAUGGGCGGAAGCCUGAUGCAGCGACGCCGCGUGAGUGAUGACGGCCUUCGGGUUGUAAACCUCUUUCAGCAGGGACGAAGCGUAAGUGACGGUACCUGCAGAAGAAGCACCGGCUAACUACGUG
Molecule: ribosomal RNA, 467 nt
Filed under: uncultured bacterium
Lineage: Bacteria
Description: partial 16S ribosomal RNA
Rfam family: Bacterial small subunit ribosomal RNA
Source: RNAcentral